UUGAAGAGUUUGAUCAUGGCUCAGAUUGAACGCUGGCGGCAGGCCUAACACAUGCAAGUCGAGCGGUAGCACAGAGAGCUUGCUCUCGGGUGACGAGCGGCGGACGGGUGAGUAAUGUCUGGGAAACUGCCUGAUGGAGGGGGAUAACUACUGGAAACGGUAGCUAAUACCGCAUAACGUCGCAAGACCAAAGUGGGGGACCUUCGGGCCUCAUGCCAUCAGAUGUGCCCAGAUGGGAUUAGCUAGUAGGUGGGGUAACGGCUCACCUAGGCGACGAUCCUAGCUGGUCUGAGAGGAUGACCAGCCACACUGGAACUGAGACACGGUCCAGACUCCUACGGGAGGCAACGUGGGGAAUAUUGCACAAUGGGCGCAAGCCUGAUGCAGCCAUGCCGCGUGUGUGAAGAAGGCCUUCGGGUUGUAAAGCACUUUCAGCGGGGAGGAAGGCGAUAAGGUUAAUAACCUUGUCGAUUGACGUUACCCGCAGAAGAAGCACCGGCUAACUCCGUGCCAGCAGCCGCGGUAAUACGGAGGGUGCAAGCGUUAAUCGGAAUUACUGGGCGUAAAGCGCACGCAGGCGGUCUGUCAAGUCGGAUGUGAAAUCCCCGGGCUUAACCUGGGAACUGCAUUCGAAACUGGCAGGCUAGAGUCUUGUAGAGGGGGGUAGAAUUCCAGGUGUAGCGGUGAAAUGCGUAGAGAUCUGGAGGAAUACCGGUGGCGAAGGCGGCCCCCUGGACAAAGACUGACGCUCAGGUGCGAAAGCGUGGGGAGCAAACAGGAUUAGAUACCCUGGUAGUCCACGCCGUAAACGAUGUCGAUUUGGAGGUUGUGCCCUUGAGGCGUGGCUUCCGGAGCUAACGCGUUAAAUCGACCGCCUGGGGAGUACGGCCGCAAGGUUAAAACUCAAAUGAAUUGACGGGGGCCCGCACAAGCGGUGGAGCAUGUGGUUUAAUUCGAUGCAACGCGAAGAACCUUACCUGGUCUUGACAUCCACAGAACUUAGCAGAGAUGCUUUGGUGCCUUCGGGAACUGUGAGACAGGUGCUGCAUGGCUGUCGUCAGCUCGUGUUGUGAAAUGUUGGGUUAAGUCCCGCAACGAGCGCAACCCUUAUCCUUUGUUGCCAGCGGUUCGGCCGGGAACUCAAAGGAGACUGCCAGUGAUAAACUGGAGGAAGGUGGGGAUGACGUCAAGUCAUCAUGGCCCUUACGACCAGGGCUACACACGUGCUACAAUGGCAUAUACAAAGAGAAGCGACCUCGCGAGAGCAAGCGGACCUCAUAAAGUAUGUCGUAGUCCGGAUUGGAGUCUGCAACUCGACUCCAUGAAGUCGGAAUCGCUAGUAAUCGUAGAUCAGAAUGCUACGGUGAAUACGUUCCCGGGCCUUGUACACACCGCCCGUCACACCAUGGGAGUGGGUUGCAAAAGAAGUAGGUAGCUUAACCUUCGGGAGGGCGCUUACCACUUUGUGAUUCAUGACUGGGGUGAAGUCGUAACAAGGUAACCGUAGGGGAACCUGCGGUUGGAUCACCUCCUU
RNAcentral lists this ribosomal RNA (1534 nucleotides) under Klebsiella pneumoniae. Its description in RNAcentral is "bacterial SSU rRNA". It matches the Rfam family "Bacterial small subunit ribosomal RNA". The record is from RNAcentral. Lineage: Bacteria; Pseudomonadati; Pseudomonadota; Gammaproteobacteria; Enterobacterales; Enterobacteriaceae.